RNAcentral lists this long non-coding RNA (1398 nucleotides) under Suricata suricatta (meerkat). RNAcentral describes it as "lncRNA (ENSSSUG00005023662.1)". Lineage: Eukaryota; Metazoa; Chordata; Mammalia; Carnivora; Herpestidae. The record is from RNAcentral.
CUCCGGCACCACAUUAGCUUAUGUGACGUGACAGCAAAUGAAGAAUGCAGUCCCACCAAAACACUUAGGCUGUGUUUAAUGGGAAAAUAGUUCCCACUGCUGCAGUUCUUAAAUUUAAAUUCAUUACAAUUAAGUAAAUGGAAAAAUUCAUUUCCUCAGUCAUACUAGUCACACUUGGAGCACUUACUAAAAUAGCUGCUCAGUUUGUUUGUUUGAACGAGGCUGGAGGCCAGAGCAGCAACAAUCAUCUCUGGGCCUUCAGAGCACUAUGAAGUCUGGUCCCUGACUGGCUCUCGAGUCCCACCUCCUACCUCCCUCCCCUGGCUCUUAGCCCUGCCUAUGCGCUGAUCCCUGAGCCUGGACACCGUUUUCCCUGCAGAGCUGAUCAACUUCACUUGUUCCCUUGUUGUAUAAGCCGGGGCCCCCUGAUCUUCCACAGGCAGACGUAUUGGAAUGUGGUUGUUGGAAGCUUCCAUGGCAGUUGGAAGGAGACCACCAGUUGGACUGAUGGAAGGGAUCCUGCAGGACACAUGGAACAGAAAGGCACCAGCUAGGGAAACUUCUGGAGAAAGCAGUCAGACUGGAUGUCAAGCUGCCCUCCUGAAUGGCAGUGAGGCUAAGCAGAAAACUUAAGGGUGGAGACAAAAAUCCGAGGUCUCAGUCUGCAUACAGACCACUCUGGAACACGACUUGGUGACUUGGGGCAGGCCACUCACUCAGCACUUUGUCCUCACUUGUGAAAUGGAGGCUUGGAUGGACUCCGCUUUAGAGCACAGCAUGUCUUCAUCUGGGCAGGGAUGAAGAGAUCACCCCUUGAGGCCCCACCAAGUGGCCUGCUCAUUCCUCCACCUGUCUGUGACUCAGAGCAGGUACCAGACCUACACUGUGCUGGUGCUCCAUUCCUGUGGUCUUGGCCACCUCGAUCUUUCCCAUGCAUGAGGUUAGAAUCUCCUAAUGAUAAUAUGGCAACAUCAAGUUCAGGGACGCCUUGUACUUGCGGAAGCUUCACGCGUCUGACUAUUCACUUGCCCAUUUGUUUACUGUAGCCAGGAGCCGGGGUUUGAACAUCGGCUCUGCAACUUCCUAGCUUUGCAAUCCUACGUGAGUUUCUUCACCUUUCUUAUCUUUUUUCUUUUUUUAAUGUUUAUUAAAAACAGAGCGUGAGCAGGGGAGGGGCAGAGAGAGGGGGAGACACAGAAUCCAAAGCAGGCUCCAGGCUCUGAACUGCCAGCACAGAGCCCAAUGCGGGGCUCGGACUCACAGACCAUGAGAUCAUGACCUGAGCCAAAGUUGGACGCUCAACCAAUGGAGCCACCCAGGCGCCCCAAGUUACUUCACCUUUCUGAGCCUCAGUUUGCUCAGCCGUGAUUAUAGUAUCCAUUUCAUCAGAGAGCAUUG